Long non-coding RNA from Schistocerca gregaria, 3279 nucleotides. RefSeq lists it as uncharacterized. The transcript has 5 exons. Lineage: Eukaryota; Metazoa; Arthropoda; Insecta; Orthoptera; Acrididae. The record is from RefSeq and is a predicted model, not a curated record.
CACAGAAGGCAUGUCUUUCACUAUAAUCUUAUUAUUGUGGCUGCUCUGGUGAUUGUUGACUGAUAUUGAAGGUGUGUAUGAUAUAUUUCGGUCUUUCUAUUGUUUUUCGCAAUUUCGUAGUAUCAGAUGAGUAAUUUUUCUGUAUUUGCAUACUGAAAAAUCAGUGACCCUUAAUCUACGAAACAAUGUCUUCCAAUAAAGAAUUUUAUAGCGACUAAAUAAGUAUAAAAACCUUGUGCAAGAAAGGUUACUGGUAGCGUUUUCAUGUCAUAUGAAAUCAUUACGGCUAUCAAGUCCUUAGAUCAAAUCAACUGAUCUUGCAAAUUAUGGAAAUGUUAUCUCCCGUAAUAAAUUUUAUUUAUUUAUUCAUCACCGUUCAGAGCGAUUUGGCCGCCGCAGUGAAUGCCAGGUCACUUGCGUGCCCAAGCCUUUCGCCGCGCCACAUACCCAGCUGCGCCGCUGUCACUUCCAGGCAGUCUGGUGCAACGCCACACCGCAGGUAGCCGUCCUCUGCGCCACACCGAUGUAGCAGGGUAGUAUGUUCCGGUUGCGCGCUGCCAUCCAGGAAACGUGCAUGUUAUGGCCGCACUGCCGUCAACACCGCAGACAUCAUCUUCGCCACCGUUUCCUGCCACCAUCGUCCAACAGGAUGCAGCUGUUGAUGACUUACCACCGCUGCAACUAAUUCUAACCACCUGCUUAUAUGCUCCUGCAGAAGUUGCAAUGUAUCACAGUGCGCCACUGCCCACCGCGGCCAGCGAUCUCCGUCGCUGCCAGUGCCAACAGCUGAUCGGCGCACCAUCCGCUGUCGACCAAAUUCUCUCACGUUACAAGAUGCUGAAGGAAGCAAAUGCUUCAAGGACUGUAUCCAUUCUCAUGGCGCAGAAGAUCUGUUGGAAUCACUCCAACUAGUAUAAGCUCUAUAGGCCAUGUUAUUACUAAUUGUGAAAAUAUUGCCACAGCUGCUGUUGUAAAUGGUCACAUCUCUGACCAUCUAGGCCAACUGUUAGUGCUAAAGGGAGAUCCUUGUAUAAAACCAAAGAAAAUUUAUUUAACACAAAAGAAAUCUCUCUGUUAUCAACAUUGUCAAACUGAGAGAGAGCCUUUGUCAUGAAUCUUGGCAUCUAGUAUUUCAAGCCGAAGGAGUGAACAAUAAAUGAGAUGCCUCCUAGAUUAAUUAUCUUUUCAUCAAAACAAUACUAUUCCCAUCAGAAAGAUAAAUAUGAAUAAGAACAAGGCAAGACAGUCAAGACCUGUGGAAUUUAAUAAUUCUACCAAAGAACUCAAAGAUAAAAUGGAAGAAAUGUAUUUGAUACAAAGAAAGACCAAAACCAAUGAGCACAGGGAUAAAUACAAACAAUAUAAGUACCAAUUUUGCAAGCAAGUCAAAAGAUUGAAGGCUGAAAAGAUUAACUCGAAAAUACAAAAAUCAGAUUGUCUCUCCAAGACCUGCUGGUCAAUCGUAAAUGAAAUAAGAGACAAUAAAACAAAACUAAAAGGUAUCAUCAACGUACAGAUAUCUAAUAACAAUAUUGAUGUCACCAUCCCUCAGAUCAGUAACAUUUUUAAUGACUAUUUCAUAGAUAUCAUAGAAUCUGACUUUUUUUACCACAGAUAAAGUACCUGUUGGAAGUCUUGCUGAGGACAAUUCUGAAUCUACUCAACUCCAUGAACUUGAAAUCAAGGAUAUUUUGUAGGUCAUCAGAAUGUGUAAAAACAAAAUAAUCCGCUGGCUGGGAUGAAAUUUCUCCAUUUUUACUUAGACAGUGGAAAAAUAAUCUAGCAUAUCCUUUGGUGCAUCUAAUAAUUAGAAACUUGCUUUCACUUCCGUUUUUGCAAGUUAAUUGAAAUAAUAAUUCUGAAAUAUAUGUUAGAACAUUAUAAUAAGCACAACAUCCUGGGAGAUUUUCGGCAUGGUUUCAGAAGUGGUUGUAACACCAUGACUGCAACACUUCAAUUUAUGCUCAAAGCUCUUGACACAGUUGAUGAAGGCAUUCAACUAGCUGGAGUUUUCCUUGACUUAUCAAAGGCUUUUGAUAGGGUUGAUCAUAAGGUACUUCUGUCAAAACUGGCCAGAGAUGGCAUAAGUGGAAAACUAUUGCACCUCAUCAUAUCGUAUUUAAAACACAGAAAAUAGUGUACCUCAAUCUCACACAAUAAUGGUGAAACAUUAAAAAGUUAUACAUCAGGGGUCAGGAAUGAUUAAAUUUGGUCUGCCUCAGGGAUCGAUGAUUGGUCCCUUCCUUUUUAUAUGUUACGUUAAUGACUUCCCAAAGAUAGUAAAAAAUAUGCCUUCAUUACAAUGUAUGCAGAUGACACUUCAUGCUUUUGUUGGGUAAAUGAUAUUUUUAAUCUCGGCAUAGAGGUAAAAAAAAUUAUAGAUAUUGCAAAGGACAAGUUUGAAAAUGACAUUCUAAAAGUCAACUUACAAAAAACAAAUAUAAUUCCCUUCAAUGUUGGUGAUUUGCAGACUUGUAUUGAUUCUCAAGAUAGUAAUAUUGUAGGGAAAAUCUGCAAUGAUUCUAAAUUCCUAGGUACCGUAUAUGCAUAGUUAGCAAACUACUAUGGACGCAACAAACUGACAAUGUAUGUACCAGGCUAUCAUCUAGCCUAUAUUUUUUAAGAAGAAUAGCUCCAUACAUCAAUACCCAAACAAUGUGGGUGAUGUAUUUUGGUUUAAUACACCCAUUUCUAGCAUAUGGUCUUUCAUUGUGGGGCGGGGCUUCCAAAACUCAUGUAGACCGAGUAUUUAAACUCCAGCAAAGAGACUUGAGAAUAUUAGGUGAAAAAUAUACUAGAACAUCAUGAAAUGGAUAGUUUAUAGAUUUUAAAAUUCUGACUAUGUAUUCUAUGUAUAUGUUUGAAACAGUAGUAUUAACUGUAGAAGAUAAGAAAUAUACAUAUUGUAAUGCAGGAAUAAGUACAAAAUUUCCAUAUGAUAAAACAGAAGACUGAAAAAAAAAACAGCAAACAGUUCAUAUAUUAAUGGAGCAAAAUACUUCAACGCACUGCCAAAUGAAUUGAAGGUAAUAACUGGAGAGACAUUCAAAAAACAUCGAAAAUCGUGGCUCAUUGAGCAGUGCUUCUAUAGCCUACUGUAGAAACUAAAUCUAAAGUAUUAUUAUGUCAAAUAACUUGGACUACAUUCAAAGUUACUGUUGUAAAUUUAGAUUGUAUACUGUUGUAUUGUACUACCAAGUGCUAUGCAUGUAAUUACAUGUUUCAUGCAAAUAAAUUACAAACUAUUGACCAAUGAAAUUGUUGGUAAUGUUGUCAAUU